GUUUGUUAUUUUUGUUGUUUUUU
RNAcentral lists this small RNA (23 nucleotides) under Arabidopsis thaliana (thale cress). RNAcentral's name for it is "ATSL026310". Lineage: Eukaryota; Viridiplantae; Streptophyta; Magnoliopsida; Brassicales; Brassicaceae. The record is from RNAcentral.